UACGUAGGAGGCGAGCGUUGUCCGGAAUUACUGGGCGUAAAGCGCGUGUAGGCGGUCUGAAUAGUCUGCUGUGAAAGCGCCUGGCUUAACCGGGCGAGGUCGGCGGAAACUCUCAGACUGGAGGCCGGUAGAGGGGGGUGGAAUUCCCGGUGUAGUGGUGAAAUGCGUAGAGAUGUGGAGGAACACCGAUGGCGAAGGCAGCCCCCUGGGAUAACACUGACGCUCAUGCACGAAAGCGUGGGGAGCAAACAGG
This 253-nucleotide ribosomal RNA is filed under the name uncultured bacterium. Its description in RNAcentral is "partial 16S ribosomal RNA". It matches the Rfam family "Bacterial small subunit ribosomal RNA", at positions 524 to 776 of the family's 1533-position model. The record is from RNAcentral.